This 1270-nucleotide long non-coding RNA is filed under the name Felis catus (domestic cat). Its description in RNAcentral is "lncRNA (ENSFCAG00000052665.1)". The record is from RNAcentral. Lineage: Eukaryota; Metazoa; Chordata; Mammalia; Carnivora; Felidae.
ACCACAUUGCAAUGACCUAAAACAACAAAGAUUUAUUAUCUUAUAGUUCUGUAGUUCUGAAUUCUACAACAAGUCUGCCUGGACAAACACGAGGGUGUCUUGUUGGCAGGAUUGUCUUUCUUGGUGGAUGCUCUGGGGAGAAUCUGUUUUCUUGCACAUUCCAGCUUCUAGAGGCCACCACAUUCCUUCUCUCAUGCCCCUUUCUCCAUUUUUGAAUCCAGCCUAGUGUUGAAUUCUCAAACACUGCUUCACUCCGACCUCUUCUGACUUCCUCUUCCACAUUGAAGGAGAUGUGUGAUUACAGUGGGCCCACAUGGAUAAUACAGGAUAAUAUCCCUUUUUUAAAGUCAGAACUUUAAUUCCAUCUUCUACCUUGAUUCCCCUUUGCUAUGUGAUAUGACAUAUUCACAGGUUCUGGGAAUUGUGACAUGGACAUCUCAGAGAGGGGGUCAUAAUUCUAUUACAGUGGCUUAGAAAUUCUGGUGCAUCUUAACUGAGGGUCUCUCGUGAGGUUGCAGUCAAGAUGUCAGCUGGUCUUGGUAGAUGCACGUCUCAGGCUUAGGGCCGCACAGAGAGCACCUCAUGGCAUUGGUCUUUACCAGCUGACCUGGCUGAGACUGGGGGUGAUGUCCUGGUGGGACCUGCAGUUGGAGAAAGUCUGUGAUAUGACAGCCACUCACACGAGGUUCCCAGGGAAGAGAACCAGAGCUUGAAUCCAGGCUGGAGACUUGUGCUGCACCAAGCCACACCAGGAGGAAGGUGAGCAGACCAGCUGAUCCCACCAUCUUUCCCCUCUCUCACAGACAAAACUCUUGGAAGCUAGGAUUAUUCUCUAGGAAAAAUACUUAAUUUUUCAAAAUGUUUAUUUAUUUAUUUUGAGACAGAGAGAGACAGAGACAGCGAGAGAGCCCUAGUGCAAGCAGGGGAGGGGUAGAGAAAGGGGGAGAGAGAGAAUCCCAAGCAUGCUCCACACUGUCAGCGUAUGGGGGACUCUAUCUUACGAACCGUGAGAUCAUGACCUGAGCAAAAAUCAAGAGUUGGAUGCUCAACGGACUGAGCCACCCAGGAGCCCCUUUAAACUUUUUUUUUUUUUUAAAUUAGAAGUUCUCUACUACCAAAGUAGAACAUCUCUAGAGUUGUCUGGAUUCUAGCAUUUCGGGACCAUCCAGUGGACAACUGCCUUCCUGCUCAGUCACCUGCAAGAUGACAGGCCUCUCCCAUUCAUACAAUUUCUUAAUCCCUCAUUCUUAAACAUGAACAGAAAUCCAAG